RNAcentral lists this ribosomal RNA (253 nucleotides) under uncultured bacterium. RNAcentral describes it as "partial 16S ribosomal RNA". It matches the Rfam family "Bacterial small subunit ribosomal RNA", at positions 524 to 776 of the family's 1533-position model. The record is from RNAcentral.
UACGUAGGGUGCAAGCGUUGUCCGGAAUUAUUGGGCGUAAAGAGCUUGUAGGCGGUUUGUCGCGUCUGCUGUGAAAUUUCGGGGCUCAACCCCGAACUUGCAGUGGGUACGGGCAGACUAGAGUGUGGUAGGGGAGACUGGAAUUCCUGGUGUAGCGGUGAAAUGCGCAGAUAUCAGGAGGAACACCGAUGGCGAAGGCAGGUCUCUGGGCCUUACCUGACGCUGAGGAGCGAAAGCGUGGGGAGCGAACAGG